CCGAGAUGCCGUUCCAGGGCCGGACGCUGCGCACCAUCGACCCGUUUGGCACGCCGCUCGAGUUCUAUUUCCGCAUGGACCAAAGCGAGUGCCUGCUGCAGAAAUACGGCAAGCAUCUCGGCGCGCGCAUCCAGCGCAUCGAUCACGUCAACUGCUUCACGCCCGACGUGCAGGUGAGCUACGACUUCUUCAACGAGAUCGGCUUCCGCAUCACCGAGUACACCGAGACCGAGCCGCCGGAUCCGAAGCUGUGGGCGGUGUGGAUGCAGCGCAAGGGCAACGUGCACGACCUCGCCUUCACCAACGGCCGCGGGCCACGCCUGCACCACAUCGGCGUGUGGACGGCGAGCGCCCUCGACAUCCUGCACAUCUGCGACGUGAUGGCGACGA
Molecule: unclassified non-coding RNA, 390 nt
Filed under: uncultured bacterium
Lineage: Bacteria
Description: contains 16S-23S intergenic spacer region
Source: RNAcentral